RNAcentral lists this small RNA (78 nucleotides) under Xanthomonas bromi. RNAcentral describes it as "sX9 sRNA". It matches the Rfam family "Xanthomonas sRNA sX9". The record is from RNAcentral. Lineage: Bacteria; Pseudomonadati; Pseudomonadota; Gammaproteobacteria; Lysobacterales; Lysobacteraceae.
AUCAACCACGCGUCCAUGGCGAUUCCUGCGCGCGCCGUCCACGCCCACCUGACGACUGUUUGCCACGUGUUGUUCGCC